This is a long non-coding RNA of Artibeus jamaicensis (Jamaican fruit-eating bat), 807 nucleotides long. RefSeq lists it as uncharacterized. The record is from RefSeq and is a predicted model, not a curated record. The transcript has 3 exons. NCBI's taxonomy places the organism in Eukaryota, Metazoa, Chordata, Mammalia, Chiroptera, Phyllostomidae.
GCACCUGGUCGCAGAACUGUAUGCUGCGCCCAGUGUCCCGCCGCCUCCCUGCGGAAGAAAUAGUUCCCGAAACCGCCCAGGGCCACCUCCCAGGCCCGACUUCCGAGAGGAUCCAUGCCUCCCGUAACCCGGCCCGGAGCCCCGAGGGAGGGGCAUAGCCGGGCGGCUCUUCCUGAGAGCGUCCAGCCCAAUCAGAGAGGGUGGCCGGCAGACACAGGGCCACGUUUCUGGAUCCCGGAGCGAGAUGGCGUGAGGACAGGGGCGUCGCCGCGAGGCGCCUCCCCUCGGGGUAGGCUCCAAGCCUGGACCCCCUCCUCCGAGCCCCUGCUUUGUCUGGCAGGCGCCCGAGAUAACCAAAACAACACCCAAGUUUUCAGCAAUGAAGGAGGGGGCUGGAGCGACGAGCGGCGGUAACGUUAAGGGGCGCGGAGACCAGGCCCGAAGCCCGGGACGUGUGUGGAGCGCUCCAUCGCAGAACUCAGCGGGAGCAGGGUCGAACCACUCCGACAUGGCGCCUCUCGGCCGGCCUUCUCCCCAGACCCUGCUGCGUUCAGGGAACGGCCGAUGGAGCGCCGGGCUCCCUCCCUGAACUACCCUUCAUGAAGCCAAGCUGACUAGAGUUCUGACUUCUCAAGCCCUCCGGCGCAUCUCCUGAGAAAGUUCCAGGAAGGACCCUCUGCAGGGAAACUGAGGUCCUGCUGUGAGGCGCCCUUGAAGCUGGAGCAGCGCUGCACCUCGGGAUCUGCGUUUACAUCCUCCCGGAAGUGCUGGGCCUCUGCCUGUUGCUCCCGUUCCCGCCUGGAGAGC